RNAcentral lists this long non-coding RNA (2061 nucleotides) under Salmo salar (Atlantic salmon). RNAcentral's name for it is "lncRNA (ENSSSAG00000101515.1)". Lineage: Eukaryota; Metazoa; Chordata; Actinopteri; Salmoniformes; Salmonidae. The record is from RNAcentral.
AUAAAUUAUGUAAUAUGCCAGGGAGAUAUGUAUACUGUAGCUAAGAAAGUAAUACUUAGUGUAUGUUGUGUAGUAAGCUGUUAGUAGCCCAUGUGCCCCACCCUAAUAAUUUGGUCUAUUUUCUUCUCUUAACUUUGCCUACUGUUCUGACUUGGUGGUGCACAUGUAGCCUAUAACCUGUUUUAGAGAAAUGUCAUCAUCAAAUAUUGUAAGAGCUUUCAUUGUCUGCUUAUAUGCCCCCUUUAUUUAUCCUAUGGUUCAGACUUGGUUUACAGGGAGAACACUGUAAGAACGGCCCAUGUUCUGAAUUCUGUCGCUGUACUGUUGGGACUCUGCUGUUGGGACAACUUUGUGUAGGCCCUAACAGUUUGUGGGCAACGUUUGUCACCAUUUUAGUGAAAUUAAUCUAUUGUUUAGUGUUGUGUUGUUGCUUUUCCGGCAUUCAUCCCUCUUUUUUUGGUUUAUCCCACCAAGCUUUACAUGCUAAAAUCGUCACGGGUUGUAAUAUUAACUUACCAUAUGUAUCCAUCUUUGCACACAUGCCAGUACAUUUUCUGAUAGGACACCUUGAGCAGGCCUUUCUUCUGGAGGUAUUUCACCUUUUAAGCUGUUUUUUUGGCUACAAUAUAUGACUUAGCACACGAGCUAUUUUCAAUUAAAAAUCCUUGGGUCAGGUAUUGGAUUUGGGUGCGCACUUUAAGAGUAAAAAUUUGUAUCCAGCUGGAAAUUGGACCAAAAAAAAGAGAGUUCACUUGUUCACAUGUUGUUUAACGUCAUCGAGGACAAAACGCAGUGACAGUCAACGCUGACCAAGGCCAACCAUGAAUGUCUUACAAACAAUGUAAGAAGAUGGCCUCAUCAGCAGAGAUUGAUGCCAUAACUGAAUUGGUAGAUGUCGAGAUCCCUAAGUAAGAUGUAUGGGAACCAACUGUGGUUGCUGUAGAUGAUUAUGUACCUCCCAUAGAUGGGGACAACGUUGACAAGAUGUGUGAGUCGGACAAUAGCUCAGAUUUUUCAAGCUCAGACGGCUCGUCAUCCACUGACAGUGAAUAUGAAAAAAAGAAGAAGAAGAAGAAGGGGAAAAAAGGAAACAGCUAAAUCCAGAGAUCUUCUCAGGAAUGAAUCAUGUCCGUGGAAUGGAUAUAGACAAAAAUAAAAUUCAAGGACUCCGCAAGGCUAGUGGCAAAAUGAUAGCAGAGGUAGAGAGGCGAGGCAGGGGUUAGGACAUCAUCCUGCUAUUUUGACAGUCCCUGAAGGACAAUGCAGAAGAGGCACACAGGGGACUCGAGACCACAGCAGCGAUCCUGCUCUUGCUCUACUUCUUCAAUGAGGACCCGUGAUGUCCUUGGCAAGAUUUUACCGCUCCCUACUCCUUUACUGCACAUCGGCGGAAAUCCAUUUCACCAUGAGAGUGAAAUCAUGCUGGCCUUUGAUGGGGAGAACAUCCACGCCUUCGAGGACGUCCCCUUGGGACUUGGGGCUCUGCUAGGGCUGUAUUUUUUAUUCUCAGUUAAAUUUCCCCAAAAUGUCAGAAAAACACUUAUGUUCUUAAGUUACUGUGUUCUGGGGAUAAGAGAAGUUGGGUGAAGUUACCAAGGGCCGGUCAUAGAGAUGGCAAACUUGCAAACUUCCUAACAUAACUAAGUGGUUGUUGGGCAAGUGGUUGUUGGACACACACACACACAAAAGCAAAAAAAGCUGUAUUUAGCAUCACGUCUACAAUAUUGUUAGUUUACCUAUGAUUCAUUUUUAACGUUUGUUGUUUUUGUUGUACAACAUUAUUUUAUAAACAAAUUAAUUGUAAUGAAAAGCACUAUACAAAGUACAUUUAUUAUUUAUAAUGGUCUGACAUGCCUGCAAAAAUGUUGCAAUUUUGUAACAUGUUUUGUUUGAUCAAUUGUUUUGUAAAUAUGAAUUCACAUUUGUGGUGCCACUAAAUAAACAAUGAGUUAUUUAAAUCCAUGUUGUCAAUAUUGUUAUAAUUAUUAAAAUAUUGGAAAGGUAGUUAAACAAAUGAACCCCAAAAGGUUCUUAGAGGAACCAUUAUAAGGGGUUCUUCGA